Molecule: ribosomal RNA, 394 nt
Filed under: uncultured bacterium
Lineage: Bacteria
Description: bacterial SSU rRNA
Rfam family: Bacterial small subunit ribosomal RNA
Source: RNAcentral
GUGUCAGCAGCCGCGGUAAGACGAACCGUGCAAACGUUGUUCGGAUUCACUGGGCUUAAAGGGCGCGUAGGCGGCUUGCCAAGUCAGGGGUGAAAUCCUCCGGCUCAACCGGAGAACAGCUUUUGAUACUGGCGAGCUUGAGGGAGGUAGGGGCAGGUGGAACUUCCGGUGGAGCGGUGAAAUGCGUAGAUAUCGGAAGGAACGCCGGUGGCGAAAGCGACCUGCUGGAUCUCUACUGACGCUGAGGCGCGAAAGCCAGGGGAGCAAACGGGAUUAGAUACCCCGGUAGUCCUGGCCCUAAACGUUGGGUACUAGGUUGUGGACUUGACAUGGGUUCACAGCCGAAGCAAAAGUGUUAAGUACCCCGCCUGGGGAGUAUGGUCGCAAGGCUGAA